GACGAACGCUGGCGGCGUGCCUAACACAUGCAAGUCGAACGGGACCGCAAGGUUCAGUGGCGGACGGGUGCGUAACACGUGAGGAACAUAGCCAACGGCGGGGGAUAGCCGGCCCAACGGCCGGGUAAUACCGCGUACGACCUUUGGGGGGCAUCCCCUGGGGGUGAAAGCAGCAAUGCGCCGAUGGGGUGCCUCGCGGCCUAUCAGCUAGUUGGUGAGGUAACGGCUCACCAAGGCUACGACGGGAGCUGGUCCGAGAGGAUGACCAGCCACAUUGGGACUGAGACACGGCCCAGACUCCUACGGGAGGCAGCAGUGGGGAAUAUUGCGCAAUGGGCGAAAGCCUGACGCAGCGACGCCGCGUGUGGGAUGAAGGUCUUCGGAUUGUAAACCACUGUCGGGGAGGGGACGAAGCUCUGACGGUACCUCCAAAGGAAGCACCGGCUAACUCUGUCGCCAGCCGCCGCA
This 468-nucleotide ribosomal RNA is filed under the name uncultured bacterium. RNAcentral describes it as "bacterial SSU rRNA". It matches the Rfam family "Bacterial small subunit ribosomal RNA", at positions 28 to 519 of the family's 1533-position model. The record is from RNAcentral.